RNAcentral lists this long non-coding RNA (219 nucleotides) under Phoenix dactylifera (date palm). Its description in RNAcentral is "long non-coding RNA (PDAC_LNC001856)". Lineage: Eukaryota; Viridiplantae; Streptophyta; Magnoliopsida; Arecales; Arecaceae. The record is from RNAcentral.
UAAUUUAUAUUCAAUAAAAUAUGUUUUAUAAUUAUGACUUAUGGUGAUUCAAGUUUCAGAAUAUCUCUUGGAAUAGAGAAGGGAUUUCCAUGUUAGUUUGAACUUUUUGGUGGUUUGUGCUUCUUUAUGAUACCUAAAUGAACCAUGAUAAAAUUCCAAAAUAGACAUUGGAGUACAUCUCAAGCAAACUGAUUGUUUUUUUAAUUUAAUCUUUUUUUU